AAAAAUGGCCAAUCAAUACG
This 20-nucleotide small nuclear RNA is filed under the name Arabidopsis thaliana (thale cress). RNAcentral describes it as "snRNA_11442". The record is from RNAcentral. Lineage: Eukaryota; Viridiplantae; Streptophyta; Magnoliopsida; Brassicales; Brassicaceae.